This 1372-nucleotide ribosomal RNA is filed under the name uncultured bacterium. RNAcentral's name for it is "bacterial SSU rRNA". It matches the Rfam family "Bacterial small subunit ribosomal RNA", at positions 28 to 1381 of the family's 1533-position model. The record is from RNAcentral.
GAUGAACGCUGGCGGCGUGCCUAAUACAUGCAAGUCGAGCGAACAGACAAGGAGCUUGCUCCUUUGACGUUAGCGGCGGGCGGGUGAGUAACACGUGGGUAACCUACCUAUAAGACUGGGAUAACUUCGGGAAACCGGAGCUAAUACCGGAUAAUAUUUCGAACCGCAUGGUUCGAUAGUGAAAGAUGGUUUUGCUAUCACUUAUAGAUGGACCCGCGCCGUAUUAGCUAGUUGGUAAGGUAACGGCUUACCAAGGCGACGAUACGUAGCCGACCUGAGAGGGUGAUCGGCCACACUGGAACUGAGACACGGUCCAGACUCCUACGGGAGGCAGCAGUAGGGAAUCUUCCGCAAUGGGCGAAAGCCUGACGGAGCAAUGCCGCGUGAGUGAUGAAGGUCUUCGGAUCGUAAAACUCUGUUAUUAGGGAAGAACAUACGUGUAAGUAACUAUGCACGUCUUGACGGUACCUAAUCAGAAAGCCACGGCUAACUACGUGCCAGCAGCCGCGGUAAUACGUAGGUGGCAAGCGUUAUCCGGAAUUAUUGGGCGUAAAGCGCGCGUAGGCGGUUUUUUAAGUCUGAUGUGAAAGCCCACGGCUCAACCGUGGAGGGUCAUUGGAAACUGGAAAACUUGAGUGCAGAAGAGGAAAGUGGAAUUCCAUGUGUAGCGGUGAAAUGCGCAGAGAUAUGGAGGAACACCAGUGGCGAAGGCGACUUUCUGGUCUGUAACUGACGCUGAUGUGCGAAAGCGUGGGGAUCAAACAGGAUUAGAUACCCUGGUAGUUCACGCCGUAAACGAUGAGUGCUAAGUGUUAGGGGGUUUCCGCCCCUUAGUGCUGCAGCUAACGCAUUAAGCACUCCGCCUGGGGAGUACGACCGCAAGGUUGAAACUCAAAGGAAUUGACGGGGACCCGCACAAGCGGUGGAGCAUGUGGUUUAAUUCGAAGCAACGCGAAGAACCUUACCAAAUCUUGACAUCCUUUGACAACUCUAGAGAUAGAGCCUUCCCCUUCGGGGGACAAAGUGACAGGUGGUGCAUGGUUGUCGUCAGCUCGUGUCGUGAGAUGUUGGGUUAAGUCCCGCAACGAGCGCAACCCUUAAGCUUAGUUGCCAUCAUUAAGUUGGGCACUCUAAGUUGACUGCCGGUGACAAACCGGAGGAAGGUGGGGAUGACGUCAAAUCAUCAUGCCCCUUAUGAUUUGGGCUACACACGUGCUACAAUGGACAAUACAAAGGGCAGCGAAAUCGCGAGGUCAAGCAAAUCCCAUAAAGUUGUUCUCAGUUCGGAUUGUAGUCUGCAACUCGACUACAUGAAGCUGGAAUCGCUAGUAAUCGUAGAUCAGCAUGCUACGGUGAAUACGUUCCCGGGUCU